AUCCUAAUGGGCUGCACUAAUCAAACAUCUCAAUCUGUAUUUCAUCCCAAGGCUUGGUGUCUUCCCUAAGGCUUAGAAAGUAAAUUUGUCCAAGCUGUUGCACACUUUGGACCAGUCACUGUUUCUCUCUGGACCUCAGAGUCUUAACUGUAAAGUUCCUUUCCAACGUUGUCUAGCUUUAAUUAUAAAAAGCAGGAACAGCAACAUGUAUAUAUAUUUAAGGAUAGCUAGCAAAGUUAAAUCUAGAUAACUGGUAAAUCCAGAUUAGGAGAGUGCUUCCAUAUAGUUGGUACUCAGGCAAAACUCAAAGUCCUGAGGGGCCUGAAUGUGUGGAAAGAACUGGAAGAAAGGGAAGAGCCUCGUUUCAGCUUGGGGAAGACACUUCGCCAUGGAGUGGGAUCUCCCCGCGCCAGCUUCCCGGCAGGAAUCCUGGGCUCCUUGGAAAGGAAUUGCGGGGGGGCAGAACACGGAGGGAGAAAACUCAUUUUUCUUUCUUGUUUCCUUGAGUCUAUCCCAAACUCACGUUCUCCAUAUUUCCCAUCACAACCUCCACGUUGAUUUAUACUGUCAUAAACAGCAUUCUCGCGACUAUAACUUCUCUUAUAGCUUGGGGUGAGCUCCUUUUUCACUUCCCUAGCAGCCACUACUUUUAAAUCAGGCCUCAUAAAUAAUCUCAGCGCUUCCAGAGGAGGAGGUCAGUCAGUCGCCUCCCCGGGUCCACUUUCUUGGCUCGGGUCCCUCCGUGCCCCUCCCCCAGGUCACAGGCCGGCGCUCUCCCACCGCCUUUAGCCCACAUUUCCAGGACGCAGCCGCAGACACCAAUGCGGAAACUGGGCGCCAGCGCUCCGAUAUUCACACCCCCGUGCCCAGUCAGCGUGUGCACGUACCGCGCGUGCGCCGCCGCUGCCCAAGUUGAGCGCAAGCACGCGGCGCCGCAGCCCGCGUCUAGGCACGCUCUACCAGUGCCAGGGCCGAGCGUCAACGAACACGCACGCGCGGACGCCUACGCACGCGCACGCACGCACGCACGCGCCGCGGCCCUCCCCCCAGCGCGCGUAUCUCAUGGCCCAACUACUGCUCAGGGCGCAGUCUGCUCGUCAGGCUUUCUGCUGCGCGCCCUUGGGGUCAAGUUCGCGAACGGCCGCAGUGUUGGCAACCCUUUUUUCUUUUUUCAUACUAUCUAUGCUGAGAUUGAGGGGGCCGUUUUGUCACAGAAGUUCAACACAUUUUAGGCUCGUCCCAAACUAGCAAGAUCAGGUCGCGAUUUCUGGCCUUCUCGUUCAGAACCAGUUUGUUCCUGCCUACCGUGCUGCUUUUCGCUUUUUCUCUUCUCUCAGAAGGGCUGCUGCUCUCUGGAGCGAGAGUCGUCCAGACCCAAAUAGGGGUCACACUUGCUGCCAGGAGAGGCCUCUGCAUAAAAAUGCUUCUUUAAAAUUUUUAAAAAGUCGCAUAAUAGCCAAUGGACUUGGCAAAGCGUGACUUGCUCGGGCCACACGGAGGGCAGCCUUGGCAGUCAUCUGUGACUGGACCACCAGUUAACGUCGGAAACGUGCCUGUUCGCGGACGUAUUUGCAAACGUUUAAAGGAUGUGGCUGUCAAAUGUCAUUAGCCCACACGUUUUACUGGAAGGAGGGCACGACCAUGGCGUGUAUGCGUAGAAUAUUCUGGGGAGGUCAGAGUCUGCCUUCUGUAAUAGUCACAUGUCCCUUCCUGUGCAGACUUUUAUCAAAUGACUGGAGAAAAGAAGCCGGCACAUGAGCAGUGGAGUACGGGGGUGUGGAAGGAGUGCAUGCAAGACUUUGGGGUAAAAACUCGGACCCAAAUCAGACACUACAUAGAAUGAGGUGGAGGAUCGGAUCGAGUCAACCCAAUGAGUUCAAGCACUCCCCGUGUGAACUAUCAGGUCCUGAAUGCUAGAACCUGGCGUCCAGAAGUGCCAGUUGAGGCCAGGCAGCUUGAAAAAACCCGGUGAGCUGGAAGGGCUGGUGGCUGUUCAGGUGGGCAAAGAAGAGAGGAGAGCACAGGCCAGAGCCAUAUCAACAAAAUAGACCCACUGAAUGAUUUCAUUUGCUUUUAUGUGCAAUCUAAAUAUUCUUUUC
Long non-coding RNA from Bos taurus (domestic cattle), 2099 nucleotides. Lineage: Eukaryota; Metazoa; Chordata; Mammalia; Artiodactyla; Bovidae. The record is from Ensembl.